Molecule: ribosomal RNA, 734 nt
Filed under: Peribacillus frigoritolerans
Lineage: Bacteria; Bacillati; Bacillota; Bacilli; Caryophanales; Bacillaceae
Description: bacterial SSU rRNA
Rfam family: Bacterial small subunit ribosomal RNA
Source: RNAcentral
GGAUGAUGUGGCUCAGUCGUUCGGGUAGCCUUGCAGUUUGAUCCUGGCUCAGUCAGAACGCCGUUUACGUGGGCUUCCAGCCUAUCACACUGGGAUAACUGCGGGAAACCGGAGCUAAUACCGGAUACGUUCUUUUCUCGCAGAGAGAAGAUGGAAAGACGGUUUACGCUGUCACUUAUAGAUGGGCCCGCGGCGCAUAGCUAGUUGGUGAGGUAAUGGCUCACCAAGGCGACGAUGCGUAGCCACCUGAGAGGGUGAUCGGCCACACUGGGACUGAGACACGGCCCAGACUCCUACGGGAGGCAGCAGUAGGGAAUCUUCCGCAAUGGACGAAAGUCUGACAGAGCAACGCCUCGUGAACGAAGAAGGCCUUCGGGUCGUAAAGUUCUGUUGUUAGGGAAGAACAAGUACCAGAGUAACUGCUGGUACCUUGACGGUACCUAACCAGAAAGCCACGGCUAACUACGUGCCAGCAGCCGCGGUAAUACAUAGGUGGCAAGCGUUGUCCGGAAUUAUUGGGCGUAAAGCGCGCGCACGUGGUUCCUUAAAUCUGAUGUGAAAGCCCACGGCUCAGCCGUGGAGGGUCAUUGGAAACUGGGGGAACUUGAGUGCAGAAAAGGAAAGUGGAAUUCCAAGUGUAGCGGUGAAAUGCGUACAGAUUUGGAGGAACACCCCUGGCGAAAGGCAACUUAUGGGUCUGUAACUUGACACUGAGGCCGCGAAAGCCGUGGGGG